NNNNNNNNNNNNNNNNNNNNNNNNNNNNNNNNNNNNNNNNNNUCCCUCCGCCGCCAACCGCUCGCGGACCGCGCGGCUCGUCUUCCUGCGCGCCCGCGGGAAGCAGCGUGGGUCUCGUGGAAACUGUGGCCUGGGAGCAGGGGGCGCCGGCUUAGGGCGCGGGGAGGGGGCCGGGACUUUCUUCCAGCGCGGAGGCGCACGCUGGUUAGCGGCGCACUCGUGACGCAAGGAGGCAGAGACCGUGAGACGGAAAGAUAAGGCUGGACAGCGGUGGCCAAUCGAAGGGUGCGACCGUUUGAUUGGCGUGACCGGCGGCCACUCGCGAUGCGGCCCCGCCCCCGCCACGCCUCCUCCGCGAGGUCCGGCGAAGAAAGAGGUGGGACUCUCGGGGCGUUAGUCCCGGAGGAGCGAUGGGGGAGGGCUUUGCGGUUUUAUUGUCAGGUGUGCGUGCCCGCCCGCGCGCCUCCCACACCUCCCCGUGUGCCCAACAGUGUCGGGACAUUAUUGACUUUCCGCCCUCCUCAGCCCGAGGAUCUCGGGGUCAGAACCCAGCCGGACACAGAAUCUGCAACGCGUAUCUGUAAAGUGGGGCAAUGCGAAAGAGUGAACGUGCCCUCCGUUCGUGGGGGGGGGGGCGGCGUGUGCAGAAACCUGGAUCUCAUGCGCCCACCUGGGGUAAGACUUUAGUGAUGAAAACAAGAAAUGGCAGAGGCAGAUGGAGGCGUCUCCAACAGGGCGCCCGGGGAGGGGGGGGGGCUCUCCCCUCUGUUUGAGUCCACUUGGUGGAUUUUUUUUCCUUUUUUAUUUAGGGGAAAGUCCCGUUAACAGAAUCAAUCAUUUUAUUUUCUUAAGAUUUUUUUUUAAAGAUUUAUUUAUUUCUUUAUUGGACAGAGAGAUCACAAGUAGGCAGAGAGGCAGGCAGAGAGAGAGAGAAGCAGACUCCCUGCUGAGCAGAGAGCCCGACGCGGGACUCGAUCCCAGGACCCCGAGAUCAUGACCUGAGCCGAAGGCAGCGGCUUAACCCACUGAGCCACCCAGGCGCCCCAAGAUUUUAAGUGAUCUUUGUACCCCCGGUGGGGCUUGAACCCAUGACCCUGAGAUCAAGAGUCACAUGCUCCACUGACUGGGUCACCCCGGCGCCACCAGAGAGCGCCUGUGAUUGAUUACUUAAUAUUAUUAUCAAUAAUUAUCAAUUAUUCAUAAUUAUUUUGGAAGUGAAAAUUCAGGGGCAUAUUUGUACAUUCACUGUUCUGCGCAGCCGUCACCUCUACCUAACUCCAGAAUAUUCUGAAGCCAACGAGAUACCCCGUCCCCAUCAGCAGUCAUCCUUCCCCUCCCCCGCCCCCUACCCCCCCCAGCCCCCUUCCUGUCUGUGGAGGAGCGUGUCUGGGCGUGUCACACCCCAUGUGGCCUCCGUGCACCUCGUGGGCUCGAGGUCCGUCGUGGGCUCGGGGUCCGUCCCCGGGGCAGCGCGUGGGUGCCUCGCUCCUGGUUACAGCUGAGUGCAGGCGUGUGUGUGUUGGUUUCAUGUGUCUGGCCACAGGUCGAAGGGCGUCUGUGCCUCGUGAACUGUGCAGCUCUGGACACGCAUGUGGUUGCUUUCCGUGUGUGUGUUUGAGCCCCAGGGUUUUGAGUAGGAGUUUUUCAAAUGAUGUGAAUGUGUCCGUUGCCCAUGUUUAAAACGUGGGGAGAUGCACCCACAACUGCCCACCACAGCCGCCGUAUGAACAACUGGCCACCCCAGGUCCAGCAGCUGCUGAUAGCCACGGACCCCGUGAGCACAGGAUGGCCCCCUCCCAGCCUCCUGCUGUCCUCACCUCAGCCAUUGGGCCCCUCACACGGGGGUCCGUCAACACCUGUCAUCACCAAGAUCAGAAAGGCAGGCCCCCGAGAGUGGCCCGACAAGGUGUGUGAAGUGAAGCUCACCUAGUCUCCAUCCGCACUCGCGGGUGGGCCUUGGACGUCCAUUUAGCAAAUAUUCACCAAGUGCCCAUCACGUGCCAGACACAGCGCUAGAAGAACCGGUGAACAGCGGGAAGAUCCCCCUGGUGGAGGUGGUGCUCCAGGUGUGGGAGACAGACAAGAAGACAUAAGGAAAGGAGACAGCACGAUCCAAGUGCGGGGUGAGGGCACGGCGUGCGUCUGAUAAGAGGUGGUUCCUGUAGUCGUCUGAGGACCGUGGGGGUUGAGCCGUUCAGCAGAAGGUAACGCGGGGGAAGGGCGUUCCAGGCAGCAAGCACAGCCAGUGCAAAGGCCCUGGGGCAGCACUGGGUUGGCCGAUUGGAGGAACAGGGAGGAGGUCCACGCGGCUGGAGCAGGGUAGGCAAGGGGGAGAGAGGGAGGAGUGCAGGGCCCUGGAGACAUCAGUGAAGACUUGGGCUUUUCCCGGAGGAGCCCCAGAGGGCUGUAAGCAGAGUGGGACGCGAGGCAGGUGCUCAUGGGCGCCCUCUGGUGGCCACGGAGAGGGGACACAUCAGACUGUGGGGGCGUUGGGAGAGGGGGCAGGAAGGAGACCAGGGUAGAGGCGCCUGCUGUGGUCCAGGUGGCCAAUGAUGGGGUGGAACUGGGCCCACGCUGGAUGUGCUUUGAAGUUAGAGCUCCAGGGAGGUUUCCGGAUGGAAUGGAUGUGGUUAGAGACGCUCAAGGUCAAGGGUGACCCCAAGGAUUCUGGCCUGCACCUGGAAAGAUGGAGAGGCCCGUGCCUGAAGGGGAGGUGGGACUGGGCAACCUGGCGGUGGGAAUGGGCACUUUGACGGUCUGGAGUUGAGGUCCGACUGGCGUGGGACCAGGGAGUGUCCUGGGCACAUAAGGGCAUGUGAGUGUACUAGGAGUGGGUCCUGAGCCCGGGGUGGAGGAUAUCCGAGGGGGUCAGGGAUCCCCGAGGCCACAUGACCAGGAAGCGUCCAGAAGGCCGCAGGGGACGUCUUCGAGCUGUGCAGAGCACAUGGGAUGGGGUCCCAAGAGAGACAGGCAGGAGGGGCUGUCCCCGAAUUCCAGGGACUCUGCCCAAAGGGGCAGAAAAGCCAGGUGGAGUGGGAAGGGGGCAGUGGGACCGGGGUCCAAGGAGCAAUGUCUGCGGGCCUGCGGGGCAGAGCCAGGGAAAAGGGGACAAAGCGAAGCAGGGGUUAGCGGAUACAGGAGGGAGGCCGUCCUUGCGGAAGGGCGAGGGACCCCUGCCCAGCACGGCCGCAGGGCGAGGACCCCGGGGCAGGGCUCAGCGGGAGCCGGCGGGGCAAUGCUAGGAACGGCCACCAG
This 3255-nucleotide long non-coding RNA is filed under the name Mustela putorius furo (domestic ferret). RNAcentral describes it as "lncRNA (ENSMPUG00000030306.1)". Lineage: Eukaryota; Metazoa; Chordata; Mammalia; Carnivora; Mustelidae. The record is from RNAcentral.